AAAAAGAUAAGCUAAAUUUAAGCUAAUGGGUUCAUACCCCAUAUAUAAAGAUUAUUCUUUUCUUUUUA
Molecule: transfer RNA, 68 nt
Filed under: Nisotra sp. BMNH 846636
Lineage: Eukaryota; Metazoa; Arthropoda; Insecta; Coleoptera; Chrysomelidae
Description: tRNA-Met
Source: RNAcentral